UAGGGAAUCUUCCGCAAUGGGCGAAAGCCUGACGGAGCAACGCCGCGUGAGUGAUGAAGGUCUUCGGAUCGUAAAACUCUGUUAUUAGGGAAGAACAAAUGUGUAAGUAACUAUGCACGUCUUGACGGUACCUAAUCAGAAAGCCACGGCUAACUACGUGCCAGCAGCCGCGGUAAUACGUAGGUGACAAGCGUUAUCCGGAAUUAUUGGGCGUAAAGCGCGCGUAGGCGGUUUUUUAAGUCUGAUGUGAAAGCCCACGGCUCAACCGUGGAGGGUCAUUGGAAACUGGAAAACUUGAGUGCAGAAGAGGAAAGUGGAAUUCCAUGUGUAGCGGUGAAAUGCGCAGAGAUAUGGAGGAACACCAGUGGCGAAGGCGACUUUCUGGUCUGUAACUGACGCUGAUGUGCGAAAGCGUGGGGAUCAAACAGG
RNAcentral lists this ribosomal RNA (429 nucleotides) under Actinomycetes bacterium. Its description in RNAcentral is "Actinobacteria bacterium partial 16S ribosomal RNA". It matches the Rfam family "Bacterial small subunit ribosomal RNA", at positions 355 to 776 of the family's 1533-position model. The record is from RNAcentral. Lineage: Bacteria; Bacillati; Actinomycetota; Actinomycetes.